GAUGAACGCUGGCGGCGUGCCUAAUACAUGCAAGUCGAGCGAACGGACGAGAAGAUUGCUUCUCUGAUGUUAGCGGCGGACGGGUGAGUAACACGUGGAUAACCUACCUAUAAGACUGGGAUAACUUCGGGAAACCGGAGCUAAUACCGGAUAAUAUUUUGAACCGCAUGGUUCAAAAGAGAAAGACGGUUUUGCUGUUACUUAUAGAUGGAUCCGCGCUGCAUUAGCUAGUUGGUAAGGUAACGGCUUACCAAGGCAACGAUGCAUAGCCGACCUGAGAGGGUGAUCGGCCACACUGGAACUGAGACACGGUCCAGACUCCUACGGGAGGCAGCAGUAGGGAAUCUUGCGCAAUGGGCGAAAGCCUGACGGAGCAACACCGCGUGGGUGAUGAAGGUCUUCGGAUCGUAAAACUCUGUUAUUAGGGAAGAACAUAUGUGUAAGUAACUGUGCACAUCUUGACGGUACCUAAUCAGAAAGCCACGGCUAACUACGUG
This 497-nucleotide ribosomal RNA is filed under the name uncultured bacterium. Its description in RNAcentral is "partial 16S ribosomal RNA". It matches the Rfam family "Bacterial small subunit ribosomal RNA", at positions 28 to 507 of the family's 1533-position model. The record is from RNAcentral.